Molecule: long non-coding RNA, 1367 nt
Filed under: Cricetulus griseus (Chinese hamster)
Lineage: Eukaryota; Metazoa; Chordata; Mammalia; Rodentia; Cricetidae
Description: lncRNA (ENSCGRG00015039264.1)
Source: RNAcentral
GAGCAACUUGGGACAAGGUGACCAUGGUGGCUGUGCAGCCUUCUUGGCCUGCAGAAAUCAGCAGCUCGUGAUGGCCGUCUUGUGUGAAGGGAGGCUGUGUGUGGAGAAAGUUCAACCCCAAAGGAAGAGCUCCGAAGAGCAUGCAGGUUCCACGCUGUAUCCCCCUUGACUUAGGACACCUGUGAAGGCUGGAAUGUGCAUGGUAUCAACACCAGGAGCCUUUAGGAAUGUUGGAUCCUUCAUUUGCAUGCCUUCCUCCCAGACCCUUUGCCAGCCAGCUCUGUGCUUUGGAUGUUAGAAGCUGCCUCAAGGAAUCCACCCUUCAGAUCCCCUGGUCCUCCUGUCGAGCACCCAUCCCUCUCUUUGGAGUCCUGUGAAGUUAGAGAUGUGUGGCCUGCUGAACAGAGCUUCACAGUAACCCACAUAUAGAUGUCUGCCAGGUGAAGGUGUGAAUGAGUGGCUUGCGGACAGACAGCGGUGAGCCCUGGAUGCAGAGUUGUUUGUGGAGAGCCGUUUGAAGCUUUUGCUAGAGACUUCAUUGUGCAGCACUUGCUGAGCUCAGCCCCGUGGCUCCUUGGCACUCCAGGCUCCAACAGGGCCAACUUCUUCACCAUCUCCAGAGAGGAAGUUUCCCUGCUUCUCGGGGCUUGGCAGAUCACUCUAAGGCACUCUUUUCCCCAACCCCCAGCCAUGGGAUGCCAGGCAUUACAGUAGCCUUCUCUCCUGAUGAAUGCCAACAAUAUCCUUUUAGCAGAGCCAGAGCCCCUGGGUCCGGCCUGCCCGAGACCCUAGCGGCUGCAUUCUCUGAUUGUCCGCUGUGCUGGAAGCAAAGGCCCAUUAGGCUUAGCCUCUGCCAUGUGGAAAUAACCCACUGAGAGGCAAGGAGCACAGUGGUGGGAUGUCUUAGCCAAGUGCUGAUUUCUUGCCGUUCCUCGGGAGAAGCAUGGCCUCUCAGCUCUGUCCUGGCAGCUGGAGGCCUGUCACAUGCCUCUUGCCCAAGCUGUGGUUGUUAAGAUGCUGGGCACAGUAGGAGAGACCCAGGCUUGACUAUGAAGAGCUGGGAACUUGAGCAUUCUCAUCAACAGGCAGCACCACCCUGAUGCCUUGGCUUUACAUGGGGGUCCUCAAACCUGCAUCCAGCUUUGUUCAGUCACCACAGGACCAAGCCAGAUGCUGGUUAUAGUGCUAAGAUGAAGGGCUGUUGCAGUUAGGAGGUCAAACUGUGGUUGGAGAAAGGAUUAGAUCAGAUGACAAAUGAGGAGUAGACAUGGGGUCAAGGGCAUGAUUAGGGACCAGGUAAGAUUAAAUAGGUAUGGAGACACUGGAGUUGUACCUUAGCAGUAGAACACAUUUUCACUAUGCAGAAG